RNAcentral lists this ribosomal RNA (449 nucleotides) under uncultured bacterium. Its description in RNAcentral is "partial 16S ribosomal RNA". It matches the Rfam family "Bacterial small subunit ribosomal RNA", at positions 29 to 523 of the family's 1533-position model. The record is from RNAcentral.
AACGAACGCUGGCGGCGUGCCUAACACAUGCAAGUCGAACGAGAUCUUCGGGUCUAGUGGCGCACGGGUGCGUAACGCGUGGGAAUCUGCCCUUUGGUUCGGAAUAACAGCUGGAAACGACUGCUAAUACCGGAUGAUGACGAAAGUCCAAAGAUUUAUCGCCAGAGGAUGAGCCCGCGUAGGAUUAGCUAGUUGGUGUGGUAAAGGCGCACCAAGGCGACGAUCCUUAGCUGGUCUGAGAGGAUGAUCAGCCACACUGGGACUGAGACACGGCCCAGACUCCUACGGGAGGCAGCAGUGGGGAAUAUUGGACAAUGGGCGAAAGCCUGAUCCAGCAAUGCCGCGUGAGUGAUGAGGGCCUUAGGGUUGUAAAGCUCUUUUACCCGGGAUGAUAAUGACAGUACCGGGAGAAUAAGCUCCGGCUAACUCCGUGCCAGCCGCCGCGGUAA